AGAGGUCGCCCUUGGUGAAUUC
This 22-nucleotide microRNA is filed under the name Pteropus alecto (black flying fox). RNAcentral describes it as "pal-miR-377-5p". Its record names the gene pal-miR-377-5p. The record is from miRBase by way of RNAcentral. Lineage: Eukaryota; Metazoa; Chordata; Mammalia; Chiroptera; Pteropodidae.